Molecule: ribosomal RNA, 468 nt
Filed under: uncultured bacterium
Lineage: Bacteria
Description: partial 16S ribosomal RNA
Rfam family: Bacterial small subunit ribosomal RNA
Source: RNAcentral
GACGAACGCUGGCGGCGUGCUUAACACAUGCAAGUCGAACGGAAAGGCCCUGCUUUUGUGGGGUGCUCGAGUGGCGAACGGGUGAGUAACACGUGAGUAACCUGCCCUUGACUUUGGGAUAACUUCAGGAAACUGGGGCGAAUACCGGAUAGGAGCUCCUGCUGCAUGGUGGGGGUUGGAAAGUUUCGGCGGUUGGGGAUGGACUCGCGGCUUAUCAGCUUGUUGGUGGGGUAGUGGCUUACCAAGGCUUUGACGGGUAGCCGGCCUGAGAGGGUGACCGGCCACAUUGGGACUGCGAUACGGCCCAGACUCCUACGGGAGGCAGCAGUGGGGAAUAUUGCACAAUGGGCGGAAGCCUGAUGCAGCAACGCCGCGUGCGGGAUGACGGCCUUCGGGUUGUAAACCGCUUUCGCCUGUGACGAAGCGUGAGUGACGGUAAUGGAUAAAGAAGCACCGGCUAACUACGUG